Molecule: long non-coding RNA, 648 nt
Organism: Capsicum annuum
Lineage: Eukaryota; Viridiplantae; Streptophyta; Magnoliopsida; Solanales; Solanaceae
Exons: 2
Source: RefSeq, a predicted model, not a curated record
UAUUACCUAUAAAUCUAUCCAAGGGUUUCCUAAUAUUAUUUUUUAUCUUCUCCGCCGCAAAACCCUACUCCAGCAAAAAAAAAUACUGGCCUUCACUGUGAUUAACUCUUAUUCUUCAUCAUGUGUCUACUGUGGAUUAUCAAUAGUGUACCAAGGAAUGAAGCUGCUGCUGUGCAUAUCAGCUCUCAGAAGUAGGUAUUCCUCCUCUGUUGUACACUCAUUUGAUCUUCUCCACCAUUAACGAAUUGUUUUGUUGCUUUCGGGUGUGUUCUUCGGUGGAUGGGAUGAUGUUCUUGUUUUUGUGCUGUGUUGAGGGUUCCAGGUCCCUGAUUGGUAUUCCAGAUCUAAUUACUGCCAGGGUGGAGAUAGUGGGAUGCUCAGACCCGUAAGUAAUUGGACUGCAAUGCUCCUUUCAGGAGUUUCAGCUGCCAGUAUAUCACACGAUCCUCCACUUUUGCUGCGAGUCAUUUUUGAUGGCUGACAUAGAUUAGGCUAGGCAGCUUAUUUCUAAUUUUUGUUGCUUUUCUGAUUGUCUUGUGCAUGAUCAACUCUAUACACUGUAGCCUACUCAGCCUGUUUAUUCUCUUGUUGCUCUCACUCUUAUGUAUGGACAUUGUAACUUGUCAUUGUUAAGGAUUUUUCUGCCAA